This is a long non-coding RNA of Manihot esculenta (cassava), 2859 nucleotides long. RefSeq lists it as uncharacterized. NCBI's taxonomy places the organism in Eukaryota, Viridiplantae, Streptophyta, Magnoliopsida, Malpighiales, Euphorbiaceae. The record is from RefSeq and is a predicted model, not a curated record. The transcript has 3 exons.
GACAAAAGUAAACUUUUUCGACGGCGAUGCAUAAUAGAAUCCAAGCAAUUGGACCAGAUUCCCCGAGCGAUGCGAGCGUUUGAAAAGCACGUGCUCUCGCUGAGCUUUGAUUAGACAUGGAGGAAUAGGCAAAAAGAACGCCGGAAGACGCAGCUCUGCCGUACAGAGAAUAGGGAGAACAGCUCCAGGAGGUGCUGGCGGCGGCGGAUGGUAAAAGAGAGAAUAUUGCCGGCGAAAGAUCCGUGUGAAUGGAGUACAUAUGCAACAGAAAGUUAUCCAUGAGGGCAUUAAUCCUCGCACUAGGCUCAGCAACUCCAAGGUACCAGGGCAUAUCACAUUACGAAGAGCUAUAAUUCAAUGAUCAUAAUGCAAUUCCUUGCCCUGGUGAGCUCCUUGUGUAAGAGCACCAUAGCAACUACGGAGAGCCAUGGGCAGGUGGGCAGAUGUCUUUGGAUUCCUAGCUGAAGUUGCCGAUCUACCACCCAGCCUACAAGUGCUUGAGAUUGGUUGACACAGUCAUUGUUGGGGACCUGGGGUGCAUUUUAUUCUCCACCUUAGUCCUCAACACUGCCACUGUUUUGAAAGGGAUGAGCUCUCGCUAAUGACUGCACUAAGAUGCGAGCCUCCUUCUCAUGGUCUUCUAUGCAACCAACAUUGUGCGAGGGAAAUUCUCCAAGUUUGGUUCAGGAGUUAUGAUUUAAUAUAUGCAAGUUCUUUGUUUCUUCACAUGCUUGUCUGGGUUGGACUAGAAACAUUAUAAGUUAGUAAGUUGAAGGGCCAGGAAUGUAAUUAUAAUCUUUGUGUCAGAUGAUAUGAAGUUCAUUCAAGAUUGGGAGGCGAGGAAAGUACUUAAAGGCUGACAAGCUUGGGCUAGAGUUCAGGAAUGCGUAGGAAUUAUACUUUUUAAUCACAAUAAUAUUGAUUUUAGUUUAUAAAGUUCAAUGCUUGAGAGAUUUCGAAUAGAGUUUAUUGGUUUUGGUUUUGGGUAAUUGUGAUUCAAGAUUGAAGCAAACCUGACUUUUGUAAGAAUUCUAUUGUUGUUUCCGAUCAUUUACCUCUACUCUUCUCAGAGGCUAGCUCUUUAUCAUUUUGUUCAUCUGUUGAUAGUUGUAAGUAGACAACAGUGUCAUCUUGAAGAUUUUUAUCAAAUAGAUCAUCUGCUUGUAGACAAAGUUGAAGACUUCAAAUGCUCCCUGGCGAGAAAUUUUAUGAACAUGAUUUUAAUGAUUCGCAAAUUAUGAAGGUGGGGGAUUCUUCUUUUGCCAAAUUAUGUAAUGGCUAUGGCCAGUGGUGUACUUGUCCACUAAAGGUGAUUGGAAAGCAAUCGUUCUCCAAGGUUGGAAAGCAAUCGUUCUCCAAGGCUUUGGCUUGAACCAUUAACCAACAAGUUUUAUUGUAGGAAGCACCAAGAGUCCUACUUUCUAACAAAGAAAUGUAAAUGUGUGUGUGUGAGAAAGAGAGAGAUUUUGAUUUUUACAUUAAUAUGAUGUAACAUGUAAAGGAUGAUGUUUUGAAAGAUUGGUCUUAGUUCCUUGGGAGUUAGGUUUAAUGUAAUCUUUGGUUGGUAUUGAGAAUAUGCAAGUUGCAGGUGCUCAUUAUGUAACAUCCAAAAAAAUAAUCAUAUUACGCAAGUCAAAUUUAAGCGACCCCUGCCUUAUUAGGAGAUAAAACGCUUGUAGCUGUAUGGCAUUAUAUUUUGUAAUUUUAAUUAUAUUUCCCUUUCAAUUGAGAAAUAGUAAUUGCAUAAAUUUUCUUUCUUAUUCUUUCAGCAUCCACAUUUGAGAAGUGAUCAAGAGAUACCAGCAUGAAGUUGCCCUCAUGUUAGGCUGAAAUGAGCCAGUAUUGCUUCAAGUGGGAUUAUAGAGGACUGCUGGCUUGAUUUUUCCGACCAGCAAGGAUAACUGUGGGUGGCUUUUUUUCUGCAUUUAGUGAACAAGGGAAAGAACCUAGAUUCUGAACUGAACAUAGCCUGUAAAAUUAUGUAUAUAUAUAUAUCAGAUUCAGAAGUUUUCCUGCAAUUUUUCAGUAGGCUUUCCUUUUUGGAAAAUUUCAUGGUGUUCCUCUAAGUUAUCAUUUAUUUUUCCUUGGACUUAUAUAUGAAUAUUUUAAAAAUGAUGGAUAUUUUGGACAAUCUUCAGUCCUAACCCUGAUUUCCACUCUUUUAAACUUUCAUAGUGACCAAACGAUACAAAGCAAUAUCUUAAAAAAGUUAUGGGUAAAAAGGUGUUCUAAUAUAGGCAGUCAAAAAUAGUGAUAUCCACUCAAGUGGGAUUCACACUUUUCUGAUCUGCAAGAAACAGUGGUGUGGAAUAUGUCCUCUGCUGACAUGAAAACUCUUGCUUGAUAUCAUGCGCAUUUGGAAUUCAGACACCCUUAGGAAACAGCCACUGCGUUCUUGUGCAGUUGUGCUUGAUCAUGUGAAAGAUGCUUUUCCCAUUUUUAAUUAAGUGCACUUGUUUGCAAGUUGUGCACAUAAAAUAGUGCAAUUCCAAUAGCAUCUGGCCAGUGCAUUAUCUAAAAAGCCUAUGACCAUUCUUUUCAUAGUAGAAAGCUUUCUGAUCUUCUCUUUAACCAAGAUUAAAGCAAGCCAAACAUGUUUGACACUCCUUUGCCAAGGAGUGAUUUCAAUUUUCAUCAAAGUUGGGCUGUACCAAAUUGUCAAAAUACUCUUAGUCUACUGGCUGAUUAUUGUGUUGCUUACCAUAUUAACCAUCACUUUUGUUGGCACACUUUGUAAAUAGUAGUCUACUUUUCUUUUGCUUAUUUUGCUUCCAAAGUAUACUGUGCUCAUUCUCAAAAGGAGUGGUGGUGGGUGACUAACUGUCUUCUUUAUGCUAAUGCAAGGUGUUGUAUUUUACU